Phrynosoma platyrhinos (Desert horned lizard) is the source of this 72-nucleotide non-coding RNA. The record is from the annotation of a GenBank genome assembly. Lineage: Eukaryota; Metazoa; Chordata; Lepidosauria; Squamata; Phrynosomatidae.
GCCAGUGUGAUGUAGUGGUUUGAGCGUUGGACUAUGACUCUGCAGACCUAGGUUGAAAUCCUGGCUCAGCCA